GCCAAACAGCUAGCUUAACCACUUAAUAUCCUAACAGUAUAAUUAAAAUAAAAUAAACCACAAACUAAAAAUUAAAUCAUUCUUUCACCUAAGUAUGGGAGACAGAAAAGGUCCUACGUAAGCGAUAGAAAUAGUACCGCAAGGGAAAGCUGAAAGAGAAAUGAAAUAACCCAUAUAAGCACCAAAAAGCAAAGACUAAACCUUGUACCUUUUGCAUCAUGAUUUAGCCAGCACACCCAAGCAAAAAGACUUAUAGUUUGAAGCCCCGAAACCAGAUGAGCUACCCCGAGACAGCCUCUAUAGGGCAAAUCCGUCUCUGUGGCAAAAGAGUGGAAAGAGCUCCGGGUAGAAGUGACAGACUUACCGAAUCUGGUGAUAGCUGGUUACCUAAGAAAUGAAUAAAAGUUCAGCCUCAUUUGACCUCAAACCAAAAGUACUAAAAAGACAUAGAGAUACAUAUGAGAGUUAGUUAAAGGGGGUACAGCCCCUUUAACCAAGGACACAACCUUCUCAGGUGGGAAAAGAUCAUAAUACCUAAAACAUACUGUUUCAGUGGGCCUAAAAGCAGCCACCUAAGUAGAAAGCGUUAAAGCUCAGACAGAAAAAAGUUUAUUAUUCUGAUAAUACCUCUUAUCCCCCUAAAUAUAUUAGGUAAACCCAUGCCUACAUUGGAGAUAUUAUGCUAAAAUGAGUAACAAGAAGGCUCACCCUUCUCCCAAGCACAAGUGUAAGCCAAACCGGACCAACCAUUGGCAAAUAACGAACCCAACCAAAAGAGAGUAAUGUGAACCUCAAACAAAACCAAGAAAAAUUCACAACCAAAACAUCGUUAUCCCCACACUGGAGCGCCACUAAGGGAAAGACUAAAAGAAAAGGAAGGAACUCGGCAAACACAAGCCUCGCCUGUUUACCAAAAACAUCGCCUCUUGCAACAUAACUAAGUAUAAGAGGUCCAGCCUGCCCAGUGACAAAGUUUUUAACGGCCGCGGUAUUUUGACCGUGCAAAGGUAGCGCAAUCACUUGUCUUUUAAAUAAAGACCUGUAUGAAAGGCCAAACGAGGGCUUAGCUGUCUCCCAUUUCCAGUCAGUAAAAUUGAUCUACCCGUGCAGAAGCGGGUAUAUAAAUACAAGACGAGAAGACCCUUUGGAGCUUAAGGUUAAAAUUUAACCACGUCAAGCAAUUAACACAAUAAUAGUAAACCUAGUGGUACAUAAAUUACACCUUCAGUUGGGGCGACCAUGGAGGAAAAAAGAGCCUCCAAGUGGAAUGGGAUAAUUCCCCAGAACCAAGAGAUACAUCUCCAAGCCACAGAACAUCUGACCAUAAAUGAUCCGGCUAAAAGCCGAUCAGCGAACCAAGUUACCCUAGGGAUAACAGCGCAAUCCUCUCCCAGAGCCCAUAUCAACGAGAGGGUUUACGACCUCGAUGUUGGAUCAGGACAUCCUAGUGGUGCAACCGCUAUUAAGGGUUCGUUUGUUCAACGAUUAACAGUCCUACGUGAUCUGAGUUCAGACCGGAGCAAUCCAGGUCAGUUUCUAUCUGUAAUGCUACUUCUCCCAGUACGAAAGGACCGGAAAAGAGGAGCCCAUGCUUAAAGCACGCUCCACUCCUAAUUUAUGAAAACAAAUUAAUGCAAGUUAAGGAAGAGCCAAAACCAAAAUAACCCAAAACAAGGGUAU
This 1680-nucleotide ribosomal RNA is filed under the name Oliotius oligolepis (checkered barb). Its description in RNAcentral is "16S ribosomal RNA". The stretch from base 95 to 1563 matches the Rfam family "Bacterial large subunit ribosomal RNA". The record is from RNAcentral. Lineage: Eukaryota; Metazoa; Chordata; Actinopteri; Cypriniformes; Cyprinidae.